UCAGCCUCUUACCGGCAGUGUGGCCUUAGACAAGUUAUUUAUCCUUUUGCAGGUCUCCUUUUUCUGUUCUGUGAAAUGGGAAUGACACCUACCUCACAGGGGCCGAGGGCCCAAUAAAGCCAUACCUGCCUACAGAUCCUCUGCAUGUGCCUAAGCAAGUGAAGCGAGCAACGACGCACUUGAAGAACUUUCUCAGGAUGCUGCAUCCUGGGACAGGCAAAAGCAGCCAUCGCUGACAGACCUGUCUGCAAAGCUGCAUUCAGAGGACAGCCAGGCACCCAGAUGGACAGCCAGGUGAGCAUGAGGCUCAGCAACACACGAGACACAGUCCCCAGCACACACGCCCCUGAGACUGCCACAGUGCCACCCAGCGCCUGCCCUCAGACACACUCCCGUCUGCGACCCUGUCCUCACCUCCUCCUGUUACUGUACAAAAGAUAAAGAAACCAAGGCCCAGAGAAGCAGCUUGCCUGAGGUUACCACUUUAGGGAGCGGUGGAGCCAGACUUUAAAUCCAUGACCACCCGACUUGCCCUGGCUCACUGCCUCCCAGUGCACCUGCAGCACUCAAGUAGGGCCAGCAUGCACAGGUCACGCAGCUGAUUUCUGGCAAAUGAACUGAGCCUUCAGUGUUUUAAAGGAAAAAGCCUUUCUAAUACCCCUUUUAAAAAAUCAGAUUGGGCGUGGUGGCUCAUACCUGUAAUCUCAGCAAUUUGGGAGGCUAAAGCGGGUAGAUCACUUGAGGUCAGGAGUUUGAAACCAGCCUGGUCAACAUGGAGAAACCCCCGUCUCUUACUAAGAACAUAAACAUUACCCAAGUGUGAUGGUAGGCGCCUGUAAUCCCAGCUACUCAGGAGGCUGAGGCAUGAGAAUUACUUAAACCUGUGAGGUGGUGCUUGCAGUGAGCCAAGAUUGUGCCACUGCACUCCAGCCUGGGUGACAGAGCAAGAUUCUGUCUCAAAAAAAAAAAAAAAAAAAAAAGAUUAGUGUAGCUUUACUGCUGUCUAAUCACAAAAUGAUUGGAGCCACAAUUCAAACAUGAUCUCAAAAGUACCUACCAUUUACUGAGUCCGAGCUCCAUGCCAGAUGCAUAAACAAGCAUUUUCUGCAUUUCACCUAAUCCUCACAACCACCAAAUUAAACAGUUAACCUAACUAGAGCCACAGAUCUAGUCAAACCACAUCUGAUUCUCAAGUCACUGCUCCCAAGCAGCUAACACCUUUGAAUAAUGGAAACUUAACAUAAAUGCUGGAAUGGUACUUAGUUUACUGCUCUAAGCAGUGUUUUAAAACCUACCUU
Non-coding RNA from Callithrix jacchus (white-tufted-ear marmoset), 1298 nucleotides. The record is from RefSeq and is a predicted model, not a curated record. NCBI's taxonomy places the organism in Eukaryota, Metazoa, Chordata, Mammalia, Primates, Cebidae.